Long non-coding RNA from Sinocyclocheilus anshuiensis, 589 nucleotides. RefSeq lists it as uncharacterized. The record is from RefSeq and is a predicted model, not a curated record. NCBI's taxonomy places the organism in Eukaryota, Metazoa, Chordata, Actinopteri, Cypriniformes, Cyprinidae. The transcript is spliced from 2 exons.
CUUUUCAGAUCGUUCUGUUUCUGCUGACAACUGAUACAAGGAUUAAGGCAGCCACAACAUGAGCAGGUCAUCUAUAUAUCAUGUGUGGUCCAAAUAAACAGGUGCAAAGAGAUGGUGACAAAGAGGGAAAAGAGCUUAAAGCUGAAUUGAGGACGGAAUUAGACACAGAUGGCUGAAGAGAAGACCUCAGGAUGGAGAGAUUGAUAAAGUAUUUACUCUUUAAGUCCGCUAAUCAAGGAGAAAAGAGAACUAAUCAACCCGUAUUACAGAGAUCAGACAUGCCGGCCGGGAUGAAGUCAAACGGACAGCCAGCGCUUUUCCCCUAAACAUGCACAGCCGUUUCGUUCUUUCUUUACCCAUUUUGAGACGAUAAAUUAUCCAAUAUAUUUCAUCAUAUCUUACUAAGGCAAUUACAUCAAGAAAAUGAUAGCGCGUGUGGAAUCAAUUAUGCAUGCCCUUGGCCGGAGACCAGAGGCUGGGAAGUCGGAAAGGGCAGAUCCACUCCGCACAUGCACACAAACACGCACACACACAUGAAUGCAUGCAAAGAAACCCAUACUACACCACGCUACACACACACACACACACA